This is a long non-coding RNA of Habropoda laboriosa, 408 nucleotides long. RefSeq lists it as uncharacterized. The transcript is spliced from 3 exons. Lineage: Eukaryota; Metazoa; Arthropoda; Insecta; Hymenoptera; Apidae. The record is from RefSeq and is a predicted model, not a curated record.
UCGGUGGUGAUUUUAUCGUGUGACUCGUUAAAUUUCCCGAGCUACGUAAUUGACACGAUGCGUACCGCGAUUCAAUCGAAAAUGGUGUUUUUAAUUCAAAACCGCGCGAUUUACGUUGUCGAGUAACAGGACUAGUUACUUUGGAAGUUAUCGUGCCCCCUCAGGUAAAAUAACUACGGUUUUAUCAUACAUGACGACAACGGAUAUCCAGGGGAAUCGAUCUUUUGUUUAAUUGCUGUAAGCUUUUCCUUCGAUUGUCGUGAACGCGUGUCGUUGCGAGAAGAAUGCCAUGCGGAAGGCCAAAGACGAUCGUGUCAAAAUCACGACGCGUCAUUUUCGCAUCGGCAUCGAGGAAGAGGAGGACGAGGAGAACAACGAGGCGGAGAAUUCAGCAGCCAGAGAGAAGGA